RNAcentral lists this ribosomal RNA (497 nucleotides) under uncultured bacterium. RNAcentral describes it as "partial 16S ribosomal RNA". It matches the Rfam family "Bacterial small subunit ribosomal RNA", at positions 28 to 507 of the family's 1533-position model. The record is from RNAcentral.
GAUGAACGCUGGCGGCGUGCCUAAUACAUGCAAGUCGAGCGAACGGACGAGAAGCUUGCUUCUCUGAUGUUAGCGGCGGACGGGUGAGUAACACGUGGAUAACCUACCUAUAAGACUGGGAUAACUUCGGGAAACCGGAGCUAAUACCGGAUGAUAUUUUGAACCGCAUGGUUCAAAAGUGAAAGACGGUCUUGCUGUCACUUAUAGAUGGAUCCGCGCUGCAUUAGCUAGUUGGUAAGGUAACGGCUUACCAAGGCAACGAUGCAUAGCCGACCUGAGAGGGUGGUCGGCCACACUGGAACUGAGACACGGUCCAGACUCCUACGGGAGGCAGCAGUAGGGAAUCUUCCGCAAUGGGCGAAAGCCUGACGGAGCAACGCCGCGUGAGUGAUGAAGGUAUUCGGAUCGUAAAACUCUGUUAUUAGGGAAGAACAUAUGUGUAAGUAACUGUGCACAUCUUGACGGUACCUAAUCAGAAAGCCACGGCUAACUACGUG